UACGUAGGCAGCAAGCGUUGUUCGGAAUUACUGGGCGUAAAGAGUGUGUAGGCGGUGCUCUAAGUUCGGUGUGAAAUCUCCCGGCUUAACUGGGAGGGUGCGCCGGAAACUGGAGUGCUCGAGCGUGGGAGAGGAAAGCGGAAUUCCUGGUGUAGCGGUGAAAUGCGUAGAUAUCAGGAGGAACACCUGCGGUGUAGACGGCUUUCUGGACCAUAGCUGACGCUGAGACACGAAAGCGUGGGUAGCAAACAGG
RNAcentral lists this ribosomal RNA (253 nucleotides) under uncultured bacterium. RNAcentral describes it as "partial 16S ribosomal RNA". It matches the Rfam family "Bacterial small subunit ribosomal RNA", at positions 524 to 776 of the family's 1533-position model. The record is from RNAcentral.